CUGUAAGCCUGCGAAGGUGUGUCGUGAGGCAUGCUGGAGGUAUCAGAAGUGCGAAUGCUGACAUAAGUAACGAUAAAGCGGGUGAAAAGCCCGCUCGCCGGAAGACCAAGGGUUCCUGUCCAACGUUAAUCGGGGCAGGGUGAGUCGACCCCUAAGGCGAGGCCGAAAGGCGUAGUCGAUGGGAAACGGGUUAAUAUUCCCGUACUUGGUGUUACUGCGAAGGGGGGACGGAGAAGGCUAUGUUGGCCGGGCGACGGUUGUCCCGGUUUAAGCGUGUAGGUGUGUGUUCCAGGUAAAUCCGGUUCACUUUAACACUGAGGCGUGAUGACGAGGCACUACGGUGCUGAAGCAACAAAUGCCCUGCUUCCAGGAAAAGCCUCUAAGCAUCAGGUAACAUCAAAUCGUACCCCAAACCGACACAGGUGGUCAGGUAGAGAAUACCAAGGCGCUUGAGAGAACUCGGGUGAAGGAACUAGGCAAAAUGGUGCCGUAACUUCGGGAGAAGGCACGCUGACAUGUAGGUGAAGUGAUUUACUCAUGGAGCUGAAGUCAGUCGAAGAUACCAGCUGGCUGCAACUGUUUAUUAAAAACACAGCACUGUGCAAACACGAAAGUGGACGUAUACGGUGUGACGCCUGCCCGGUGCCGGAAGGUUAAUUGAUGGGGUCAGCGCAAGCGAAGCUCCUGAUCGAAGCCCCGGUAAACGGCGGCCGUAACUAUAACGGUCCUAAGGUAGCGAAAUUCCUUGUCGGGUAAGUUCCGACCUGCACGAAUGGCGUAAUGAUGGCCAGGCUGUCUCCACCCGAGACUCAGUGAAAUUGAACUCGCUGUGAAGAUGCAGUGUACCCGCGGCAAGACGGAAAGACCCCGUGAACCUUUACUAUAGCUUGACACUGAACAUUGAGCCUUGAUGUGUAGGAUAGGUGGGAGGCUUUGAAGUGUGGACGCCAGUCUGCAUGGAGCCGACCUUGAAAUACCACCCUUUAAUGUUUGAUGUUCUAACGUGGACCCGUGAUCCGGGUUGCGGACAGUGUCUGGUGGGUAGUUUGACUGGGGCGGUCUCCUCCUAAAGAGUAACGGAGGAGCACGAAGGUUGGCUAAUCCUGGUCGGACAUCAGGAGGUUAGUGCAAUGGCAUAAGCCAGCUUGACUGCGAGCGUGACGGCGCGAGCAGGUGCGAAAGCAGGUCAUAGUGAUCCGGUGGUUCUGAAUGGAAGGGCCAUCGCUCAACGGAUAAAAGGUACUCCGGGGAUAACAGGCUGAUACCGCCCAAGAGUUCAUAUCGACGGCGGUGUUUGGCACCUCGAUGUCGGCUCAUCACAUCCUGGGGCUGAAGUAGGUCCCAAGGGUAUGGCUGUUCGCCAUUUAAAGUGGUACGCGAGCUGGGUUUAGAACGUCGUGAGACAGUUCGGUCCCUAUCUGCCGUGGGCGCUGGAGAACUGAGGGGGGCUGCUCCUAGUACGAGAGGACCGGAGUGGACGCAUCACUGGUGUUCGGGUUGUCAUGCCAAUGGCACUGCCCGGUAGCUAAAUGCGGAAGAGAUAAGUGCUGAAAGCAUCUAAGCACGAAACUUGCCCCGA
Molecule: ribosomal RNA, 1579 nt
Filed under: Salmonella enterica
Lineage: Bacteria; Pseudomonadati; Pseudomonadota; Gammaproteobacteria; Enterobacterales; Enterobacteriaceae
Description: partial 23S ribosomal RNA
Rfam family: Bacterial large subunit ribosomal RNA
Source: RNAcentral